UUUGUUCGUUUGGCUUAAGUUA
This is a non-coding RNA of Drosophila melanogaster (fruit fly), 22 nucleotides long. The record is from Ensembl. NCBI's taxonomy places the organism in Eukaryota, Metazoa, Arthropoda, Insecta, Diptera, Drosophilidae.